GACAGAGGGUGCAAACGUUGUUCGGAAUUACUGGGCGUAAAGCGUGCGCAGGCGGUUUUGCAAGCCGGAUGUGAAAUCCCCGGGCUUAACCUGGGAAUGGCAUUUGGGACUGCAAGGCUGGAGUGCGGCAGAGGAGACUGGAAUUCCUGGUGUAGCAGUGAAAUGCGUAGAUAUCAGGAGGAACACCGAUGGCGAAGGCAGGUCUCUGGGACGGUACUGACGCUGAGGCGCGAAAGCGUGGGGAGCGAACAGG
RNAcentral lists this ribosomal RNA (253 nucleotides) under uncultured bacterium. RNAcentral's name for it is "partial 16S ribosomal RNA". It matches the Rfam family "Bacterial small subunit ribosomal RNA", at positions 524 to 776 of the family's 1533-position model. The record is from RNAcentral.